Haemorhous mexicanus (house finch) is the source of this 426-nucleotide long non-coding RNA. RefSeq lists it as uncharacterized. The transcript has 2 exons. NCBI's taxonomy places the organism in Eukaryota, Metazoa, Chordata, Aves, Passeriformes, Fringillidae. The record is from RefSeq and is a predicted model, not a curated record.
UUCACACCUCUCUCCCCGCAAAUGUGAAAUUAAUUGGUUCACAGCUCUUUGCAGGAUUGCAUGUAAUUCAGUUUAGGGCAUUGCUAAUGCUCUUGGAGGUCUUUUACAGCUAAAUCAUUCUGUGAUUCUGCAUCUGCUCUAGGUCAUACCAAGCGUCCAUCUAGCCCAUUGACCCCUGCUAGCAAUGUCCAUGCAAGGAAUUAUUGAGGAAAGCAAGGAAAGGGCAAAUACACCAAGUCUCUGCAACCUCCCAGCUUCUAGGACAAACAUGCUGAGUACCUCCCGUGGACUUUGAGAGCUGUUCCUCUGGAAAUCAGGUCACUGAUGUGAUGCUGGAAGGAGAAAGCACAAGGAAAAAGAAGGGCUCUGAUUUUCAAACACAAAUGUUUAUACAGUUUGGGGAAGAGAAUAAAAUGAAUAAAUAAA